Chroicocephalus ridibundus (black-headed gull) is the source of this 2736-nucleotide long non-coding RNA. RefSeq lists it as uncharacterized. The record is from RefSeq and is a predicted model, not a curated record. NCBI's taxonomy places the organism in Eukaryota, Metazoa, Chordata, Aves, Charadriiformes, Laridae. The transcript is spliced from 3 exons.
CUUGGAUGUGCUCACGUCUCUGGUGAGCUCAGGGGCCACAGCACCAGUCAAGCAGCUUGGUAAAGCAUCAUUUGCAGCAUGAACAGAGAUCCAGCUCUCAGCGGACAUGAAGACCGUUGCCCAGAGUGGCCACUGACCCUGAGAGGAGACAGUGCCUAGCGGAAGCAGAAGCUUCUCAGGAAAGCGGCUCUCAAGGGCUCUCAUCCAAGCUGCAGUGCUGUGACCACAUUUGCUAACACUGCUGAGAAGCCCCGAGCCAGUACGGAAAGGUUACAGCACAUUUUGUGCCUUGCUUGAAUUUUGAACAGCAGUGCGCAAGUCCAGAGAGCUCCAGCCUUCACUGAGGCCAGCCGGCUCACCAGCCACAGCCCCAAAGAGCAUGCGAAGUUGUGAACAUCCAUACCUAUUCGUGUGAGUCCCACAGCUGUGGAUUUAUCGCACGGAAGCAGAACAGCACUCAGGUUUGUUUAUGGCUUCAUGGGCAAAGACCAGACGCAGAGACAGGACAGCAGUGAGGAGCAGAAAUGGAUGGCAGAUCCUGAGAGAAGGUACAUGUCCUGACCUGGAGCAACUGACUCUCGCCCAUCCUAUAGCACAGCACAGUGCAAAAGCAGCGUCACUUAGCAAUUUUUAGAUGGCAUUUAGGACAAUCUUUCUACAGGAUAAAUGGGAUUUUGUGUUCCAAAAAUAGGUUACUAAAAUGUUCCUGGCCAGUUCAUCUCCUGUUCUUGGUGCAGGAAGAUGUCAUAGACUAAUUUCCUGACAAUGCAUGCUAAAACAGACCAGGAAACCAGCAGAUUUCUCCUUUUAGUUAUAUCUGUAGGAAAGGGUUUUCUUUGUUGCCAUCACUGUUUUAGAAACCCUGGCACCUAGCUCCUGUAGACACUGUUGGCAGGCGAGCACCAGAAGAGGACUCAGAUGCUUCAGAAAUCUUGUUGUGUUUGGACUCACAGGGAGCUAAGUUCCUGUGUCAUUUUUGGGGAGUUUACCUAUGAUUAGUGAGCCCUUGCCGGAAUUCUGCAAGCACAUCUCGACCUGGACACGGGGACUAAACCGAACUGUCAGGAAGAGAAGAACAGGGAACCAGCGCACAGAGCAUCCAGAGUGUCGGAGCCAGGUAUGCGACCCAGCAGGCAGAUGUGACAGGUGCAGGAAAAAACAGAGAGUGAUGAGGAGAGAAAACACAGUCCUGCACAUGCUUACUCACAGAUAUAAUCCUUGCUUGCCCAAAAAAAGGAUUAAAUCUUGCAAACCAUAUCAGGAUUAGAAGUAGGCUUCCAAGCUUUCCUUCACAUAGAGUUAUUAAUAUGUAGCAUUAUUUUCCACUGCGUACUGGGAUGGUUAUGCAUGUUCCCAAAGCAUUCAGGACUAUCAAUAAAACUUUGGAUUCAGAAGCAUGGAAAUGAUCCAUUUUGGUUUUCCUUUCCAUAGAUGGCCAGUGCUCUGAUCCUAGCAAAUGACCUAGAUUCCUCGGAGAAGAAAUUUAAUCGCUCGCAGGGAGCCGAUGCUCAACAGAUCACAAUAUUUGUUCUCUGAUCCAGUCACAAAGACGUCAUCGAGCUUACAGCACGCCGACUUCUCAUGACUAAUCUGCACAGAAAUAUCAUCCAGGAAGCUCUUUACAGAGAACGGGAAAGUGCAAAUACUACGCUCAGGUUUUCAGCUAAAUGGGCAUGUGACGCUGUGUUUUAAUUUUAUGUUAAAUGUCCUAGCCAGAAAUCUCAUGUGGCAGCUGCUCCUGAGAAUUCUGUAAUAUGAUAAUUAAAUGUCUGCCUAUAAACAAAAGUGUUUGUAUUACAAGCGCUCUCCCAUGGCAUUUAACUACGCUGCAUGAAUCAGAGACAGGCACAGAAGCAGUUUUUCUCGGGUCUAAGCAAGUCUCCUAUUCUAUCCCAAGAGAAAUCGAAGGCAAUGUGUGCUCUUUCCCCAGCAGCGUUGCCCAGCACAGUCCUAGCAAUAAAAAUAAUUAGCUCUCUUACGUUUAUAUUGUAUAUGUAUCUUCUAUUCCAAAGAAUUCUCAAAGCUAUUUACUAACUGCAUAUCUAUCUCAGCAUUUGAGACUGCUGCUGUAUCAUGGGUCGAUUGCAACCGCAAAGUCUCAUGUGGACUUUGCAGAGCCUCUGGCUCUUCUUUCGGAAACAAAUGCAAAGGCUGGUACCAAAACCUCUGGCAGGAAGAAAAAAUUCCCAUGCCAUUAAAUCCAGCCACUUCUGAAAGACAGCUGUCUACAGGAGUCCAGGACAGAUCAUGAGAAAAAGUGCCACAGCCAGCUGGAAGCACGUGUUGAAUUCAGGUGGCUGGGAUAUUACCUCCAAGGAGAUACCCACACGAUCCAAGAAGUGCCCUGUGCUCUCCUAAUACACACCAGCCAAAGGCUUGCGCAGGAGUCGACCAGUAAUUUUUCAUUAUACUUUCCCAUGUGGGUGCAGCACACAGCCGCCACGGGCUGGACACUAUUCCUGGGCUAGUAAACCUUCUCCAAAACAGCGGAGCAGUGCAGAGGAUCCGAACGGCUCCUUGCCGUUCCCUCUCCUAGCUGGCUGAUCUGGUGUUGAGCCCUGGUUGACCCAGACGAGCAAUGUACUUGUGCUCACAUAACCUCGCGUGUGAGCUAACAACCUCUGACAGAUAGUAGCGUACUGACUGCGCAGAACUCAAAUAACCAGAGGCCUGACUCUGAUCUAUCGACACCCAUCUUACCCCAGCGCAGCGCCACUGAUUUCUGCUGAAAUACUG